AAUGUUUCUCCCAUUAUAUAUGGAUUAAAAACAAAAGAUAUUGGCAGGAAAUCAAAAAAAUCAAGUCAUCUCUUUCAAGAAGGGCUCAAGAAAUAUCCAGAAAACACUGUGCAGAAAAGUUUGUUAUGGAUAUGCUUACUUUUCAAAAAGACGUUGAGAGAUAUCAAGAAGCUAAAUCAAGAGUUGCACUUGUGAAAACAAAUUUUGUCUUUAAUAUUCCCAAUGGAAUGUCAAAAUGAACCAAUGGCAGAUCACCUUCUAUGAUGAUCUUAAGUUUAGUCCAUUACUUUUACCUAAUGUACUUUGAAAUGAUACUCUGAAAGAAAUGCUCUGUGUCACAAGAUGGAUUUAUAUGU
RNAcentral lists this long non-coding RNA (356 nucleotides) under Ictidomys tridecemlineatus (thirteen-lined ground squirrel). RNAcentral describes it as "lncRNA (ENSSTOG00000031040.1)". The record is from RNAcentral. Lineage: Eukaryota; Metazoa; Chordata; Mammalia; Rodentia; Sciuridae.